UAAGGGGUGGUGGUGUCUGAUCCGUC
RNAcentral lists this non-coding RNA (26 nucleotides) under Homo sapiens (human). The record is from RNAcentral. Lineage: Eukaryota; Metazoa; Chordata; Mammalia; Primates; Hominidae.